CAUUGAGUGGCGAACGGGUGAGUAACACGUGGGUAACCUGCCCAAAAGAGGGGGAUAACACUUGGAAACAGGUGCUAAUACCGCAUAACCAUAACAACCGCAUGGUUGUUAUGUAAAAGAUGGUUUUGCUAUCACUUUUGGAUGGACCCGCGGCGUAUUAGCUAGUUGGUAAGGUAAAGGCUUACCAAGGCGAUGAUACGUAGCCGAACUGAGAGGUUGAUCGGCCACAUUGGGACUGAGACACGGCCCAAACUCCUACGGGAGGCAGCAGUAGGGAAUCUUCCACAAUGGACGAAAGUCUGAUGGAGCAACGCCGCGUGAGUGAAGAAGGUCUUCGGAUCGUAAAACUCUGUUGUUAGAGAAGAACGUGCAUGAUAGUAACUGAUCAUGUAAUGACGGUAUCUAACCAGAAAGCCACGGCUAACUACGUGCCAGCAGCCGCGGUAAUACGUAGGUGGCAAGCGUUGUCCGGAUUUAUUGGGCGUAAAGGGAACGCAGGCGGUUUUUUAAGUCUGAUGUGAAAGCCUUCGGCUUAACCGAAGAAUAGCAUUGGAAACUGGAAGACUUGAGUGCAGAAGAGGAGAGUGGAAUUCCAUGUGUAGCGGUGAAAUGCGUAGAUAUAUGGAGGAACACCAGUGGCGAAAGCGGCUCUCUGGUCUGUAACUGACGCUGAGGUUCGAAAGCGUGGGUAGCAAACAGGAUUAGAUACCCUGGUAGUCCACGCCGUAAACGAUGAAUGCUAAGUGUUGGAGGGUUUCCGCCCUUCAGUGCUGCAGCUAACGCAAUAAGCAUUCCGCCUGGGGAGUACGACCGCAAGGUUGAAACUCAAAGGAAUUGACGGGGGCCCGCACAAGCGGUGGAGCAUGUGGUUUAAUUCGAAGCAACGCGAAGAACCUUACCAGGUCUUGACAUCUUUUGACCAUCUGAGAGAUCAGA
Molecule: ribosomal RNA, 936 nt
Filed under: Ligilactobacillus ubinensis
Lineage: Bacteria; Bacillati; Bacillota; Bacilli; Lactobacillales; Lactobacillaceae
Description: Bacterial small subunit ribosomal RNA
Rfam family: Bacterial small subunit ribosomal RNA
Source: Rfam by way of RNAcentral